RNAcentral lists this non-coding RNA (99 nucleotides) under Pantoea ananatis. Its description in RNAcentral is "TPP sequence". It matches the Rfam family "TPP riboswitch aptamer (THI element)". Rfam says of the family: Vitamin B(1) in its active form thiamin pyrophosphate (TPP) is an essential coenzyme that is synthesised by coupling of pyrimidine and thiazole moieties in bacteria. Lineage: Bacteria; Pseudomonadati; Pseudomonadota; Gammaproteobacteria; Enterobacterales; Erwiniaceae. The record is from RNAcentral. RNAcentral also lists the same sequence under 1 other name.
CUCAUCUUGUCGGAGUGCCUAAGGGCUGAGACCGUUAAUUCGGGAUCCGCGGAACCUGAUCAGGUUAGAACCUGCGAAGGGAACAAGAGUAAAUUUAUA